UACAGAGGUCCCAAGCGUUGUUCGGAUUCACUGGGCGUAAAGGGUGCGUAGGUGGUUGGGCAAGUCUGAUGUGAAAUCUCCGGGCUUAACCCGGAAAUGGCAUUGGAAACUGCCCGGCUAGAGUGUUGGAGGGGGGACUGGAAUUCCUGGUGUAGCGGUGAAAUGCGCAGAUAUCAGGAGGAACACCGGUGGCGAAGGCGGUUCUCUGGGCAUUACCUGACGCUGAGGAGCGAAAGCAUGGGGAGCAAACAGG
This 253-nucleotide ribosomal RNA is filed under the name uncultured bacterium. Its description in RNAcentral is "partial 16S ribosomal RNA". It matches the Rfam family "Bacterial small subunit ribosomal RNA", at positions 524 to 776 of the family's 1533-position model. The record is from RNAcentral.